RNAcentral lists this ribosomal RNA (256 nucleotides) under uncultured bacterium. Its description in RNAcentral is "partial 16S ribosomal RNA". It matches the Rfam family "Bacterial small subunit ribosomal RNA", at positions 1246 to 1500 of the family's 1533-position model. The record is from RNAcentral.
AAAGCAAGACCGUGAGGUGGAGCAAAACUCAAAAACUUGUCUCAGUUCGGAUUNUAGGCUGAAACUCGCCUACAUGAAGCUGGAGUUGCUAGUAAUCGCGAAUCAGCAUGUCGCGGUGAAUACGUUCCCGGGCCUUGUACACACCGCCCGUCACACCAUGAGAGUUGGCAAUACCCAACGUACGUGAUCUAACCCGCAAGGGAGGAAGCGUCCUAAGGUAGGGUCAGCGAUUGGGGUGAAGUCGUAACAAGGUAGC